UACGAAGGGGGCUAGCGUUGUUCGGAAUUACUGGGCGUAAAGCGCACGUAGGCGGACAUUUAAGUCAGGGGUGAAAUCCCAGAGCUCAACUCUGGAACUGCCUUUGAUACUGGGUGUCUUGAGUAUGGAAGAGGUGAGUGGAAUUCCGAGUGUAGAGGUGAAAUCCGUAGAUAUUCGCAAGAACACCAGUGGCGAAGGCGGCUCACUGGCCCGAUACUGACGCUGAGGUGCGAAAGCGUGGGGAGCAAACAGG
RNAcentral lists this ribosomal RNA (253 nucleotides) under uncultured bacterium. RNAcentral's name for it is "partial 16S ribosomal RNA". It matches the Rfam family "Bacterial small subunit ribosomal RNA", at positions 524 to 776 of the family's 1533-position model. The record is from RNAcentral.